Molecule: non-coding RNA, 21 nt
Filed under: Caenorhabditis elegans
Lineage: Eukaryota; Metazoa; Nematoda; Chromadorea; Rhabditida; Rhabditidae
Source: RNAcentral
UCAGCAAUGUUUUUUUUUCAA